GAUGAACGCUAGCGAUAGGCUUAACACAUGCAAGUCGAGGGGCAGCAUGGUCUUAGCUUGCUAAGACUGAUGGCGACCGGCGCACGGGUGCGUAACGCGUAUGCAACUUGCCUCACAGAGGGGGAUAACCCGUCGAAAGACGGACUAAUACCGCGUACACUCCAUCUUGGGCAUCCAAGGUAGAGGAAAUGAAAUUCGCUGCGAGAUAGGCAUGCGUCCCAUUAGCUAGUUGGUGAGGUAACGGCUCACCAAGGCGACGAUGGGUAGGGGAACUGAGAGGUUGAACCCCCACACUGGUACUGAGACACGGACCAGACUCCUACGGGAGGCAGCAGUGAGGAAUAUUGGUCAAUGGGCGAGAGCCUGAACCAGCCAAGUCGCGUGAAGGAUGACUGUCUUAUGGAUUGUAAACUUCUUUUAUACGGGAAUAACAAGAGUCACGUGUGACUCCCUGCAUGUACCGUAUGAAUAAGCAUCGGCUAACUCCGUG
This 490-nucleotide ribosomal RNA is filed under the name uncultured bacterium. RNAcentral describes it as "partial 16S ribosomal RNA". It matches the Rfam family "Bacterial small subunit ribosomal RNA", at positions 28 to 507 of the family's 1533-position model. The record is from RNAcentral.